GCUGGUGUGGCUCAGUGGAUAGAGCGUCGGCCUGCCGACUGAAAGGGUCCUGGGUUCGAGUCCCAUCAAGGGCA
Myotis brandtii (Brandt's bat) is the source of this 74-nucleotide non-coding RNA. The record is from Rfam. NCBI's taxonomy places the organism in Eukaryota, Metazoa, Chordata, Mammalia, Chiroptera, Vespertilionidae.